AUUGAACGCUGGCGGCAUGCCUUACACAUGCAAGUCGAACGGCAGCACGGGUGCUUGCACCUGGUGGCGAGUGGCGAACGGGUGAGUAAUACAUCGGAACGUACCUUAUCGUGGGGGAUAACGCAGCGAAAGCUGUGCUAAUACCGCAUACGCCCUGAGGGGGAAAGCGGGGGAUCGCAAGACCUCGCGCGAUUAGAGCGGCCGAUGCCUGAUUAGCUUGUUGGUGGGGGAAAAGCCCACCAAGGCGACGAUCAGUAGCUGGUCUGAGAGGACGAUCAGCCACACUGGGACUGAAACACGGCCCGGAAUCCUACGGGAGGCAGCAGUGGGGAAUUUUGGAAAAUGGGGGCAACCCUGAUCCAGCAAUGCCGCGUGAGUGAAGAAGGCCUUCGGGUUGUAAAGCUCUUUUGUCAGGGAAGAAACACCGGCUCUAACACAGUCCGGGAAUGACGGUACCUGAAGAAUAAGCACCGGCUAACUACGUGCCAGCAGCCGCCGUAA
RNAcentral lists this ribosomal RNA (501 nucleotides) under uncultured bacterium. RNAcentral's name for it is "partial 16S ribosomal RNA". It matches the Rfam family "Bacterial small subunit ribosomal RNA", at positions 29 to 523 of the family's 1533-position model. The record is from RNAcentral.